This 393-nucleotide ribosomal RNA is filed under the name Triticum aestivum (bread wheat). RNAcentral describes it as "partial small subunit ribosomal RNA". Lineage: Eukaryota; Viridiplantae; Streptophyta; Magnoliopsida; Poales; Poaceae. The record is from RNAcentral.
AUGGCCCUGUUUGAGGAAUUCUUCAUCGGGGCCGUUGACGUCACCAGGCUGAAUUUUGGGAUAAUCACCCUCAUCCCCAAAGUAAGCGCGGCUUCAGAUAUCCGCCAGUUUCGGCCGAUUACAGCGAGUAAUGUCAUCUUCCACAUCCUCGCGAAGGGUGAUUCGAGGCUCGAGGUGGCGGAGCUGCGCCCCAUGGUGGGGAAGCUCCAACACCGCAUCGAGCCCUGGCAGGGCCGGUGGCUCUCGAAGGCGGCCCAGACGGUGCUUAUUAACUCGUCCCUUGCCAGACUACUCUUGUUCAUCAUGAGUUUCUGCAGCCUUCCUGAGAUGCUACAUCACGAGAUUGCCACAGUUCAGGGCCGCUUCUUCUGGGCCGGCGAGGGCGAUAAGUAG